CCUCCGGGUGGCAGCAGUGGGGAAUAUUGCACAAUGGGCGCAAGCCUGAUGCAGCCAUGCCGCGUGUAUGAAGAAGGCCUUCGGGUUGUAAAGUACUUUCAGUCGUGAGGAAGGUGUUAAGGUUAAUAACCUUAGCAAUUGACGUUAGCGACAGAAGAAGCACCGGCUAACUCCGUGCCAGCAGCCGCGGUAAUACGGAGGGUGCGAGCGUUAAUCGGAAUUACUGGGCGUAAAGGGCACGCAGGCGGUUAAUUAAUUGGUAGGUGACAUCCGCGGGCUUAACCUGGGAAGGGCAUGCCAGACUGGUUAGCUAGAGUCUUGUAGAGUGGGGUAGAAUCCCAUGUGUGGCGGUGAAAUGCGGAGAGAUGUGGAGGAAUCCCGGUGGCGAGGGCGGCCACCUGGACAAAGAAGGCCGCUCAUGGGCGAAAGCGUGGGGAGCAAACAGGAUUAGAUACCCGGUAGUC
Molecule: ribosomal RNA, 464 nt
Filed under: uncultured Arsenophonus sp.
Lineage: Bacteria; Pseudomonadati; Pseudomonadota; Gammaproteobacteria; Enterobacterales; Morganellaceae
Description: bacterial SSU rRNA
Rfam family: Bacterial small subunit ribosomal RNA
Source: RNAcentral